Triticum aestivum (bread wheat) is the source of this 127-nucleotide non-coding RNA. NCBI's taxonomy places the organism in Eukaryota, Viridiplantae, Streptophyta, Magnoliopsida, Poales, Poaceae. The record is from Rfam.
AACGUAUUCCCUCCGUCCGGAAAUACUUGUCAUCAAAAUGAAUAAAAGGGGAUGUAUCUACAUUUAUAUUAGUUCUAGAUACAUCUCUUUUUAUCCAUUUUGAUGACAAGUAUUUUCGGAGUAUUCA